CCGACGAUAGCUCAGUUGGUAGAGCGGAGGACUGUAGAUUGUUCGCAGUGAUCCUUAGGUCGGUGGUUCGAAUCCGCCUCGUCGGA
This 86-nucleotide transfer RNA is filed under the name Fasciola gigantica. It matches the Rfam family "tRNA". Rfam says of the family: Transfer RNA (tRNA) molecules are approximately 80 nucleotides in length. Their secondary structure includes four short double-helical elements and three loops (D, anti-codon, and T loops). The record is from Rfam by way of RNAcentral. Lineage: Eukaryota; Metazoa; Platyhelminthes; Trematoda; Plagiorchiida; Fasciolidae.